CCUGUCGGUCUGUGGCUUUUGGCCUAUCCAUGGGGACUCCAAAAGCUAGCAGCAGGUGCUUCCUUGUGGAAUUUAGCUUAUGCUUUAUUGAUGACUUAGUGGAAGGGUUGUCUGCGUCAAUUGCUACUACAAGCUCGCAGAUAGAGAUGGAUACCGAUCUCUCAUCAGAGCCAAACCACAUAGAGUAUUUAAAAAGAUGAAGUCGGUGUUUUCCAUCGGCUUGAGGGGCAGAAAGAUAUCUCAUUCCACUUAAUCUGCAGGUAUAUAGAGCGACAAGGAGAUAGAGAGGGUGUCAACGCUGGACCUAGAUCCACCAGGCUCUUCCACUUCCAACAUGGGUGUCUCAGACCGCCACUAGAGGGUUACCUCGACAAUGCAUGUGCAUGGCAGCACCCUACCGUGGAUGUUCCCAGGCUAUCAAGGAGCACAACCAACUCAUAAGCCUCUCCAUUAUAAAUCCCUGGGGAACUACAAAACACAUGUGGAGUUCUUUCCUAGGCAACUACGCUGCUGAUACUGCACUAUUUUUAGAAUCUUUAUGUUUGUCCAGCCUUAGGAGUUGUUUCCCAGUAAAUCAAAUAGUAGGGCUCCAUGCAGCUGUGAGGAUAAUACAGUAGCAUAACCAAGGUAAUCUUCUUUUACAAAUUGUGUUUUUAUUUAAGACAAGUAGCAUGUUUUUUCCUAUCAUUUUGUAUGAUCCUCAUUUGUGCUGAGCUUCCAUAGUUCACGGUAUAAAUACAUGGCCUCAAAACAACGCUUCAGUAUGACAGUGCCAAAUGUAGUAAGUCCCUAGACUCCAUUGGUAAGUAUCUAUCUCAGAACCUAAACAUGGAAGGCUGCAUUUUUAUGUUGUAAUUUUUGGUUCAUACAAACGAUUAGAAGGAGAAAAUGCUUGCAUGGUUCCUAUGCACAUUUACUGUUGGAACUUAGGUACACCAAGUUACAACUUAUUUUCCCACCCCUAACGAAUAUCUGACGCAUUUCCACUCAUGCUGCCGAGAACCUUCAUAUUCCUCUUCGCGGGUUAACUUUGUGUACAAGUAUAAGUACAACCUGUGACGCUGGACAGUCCUUGCCACAGUUUAAUUUCAGGUGCACAUGAACUAAGCUCUUGCAGAGAUCAUGGUGCCAUUUCAUUUUCUAAUAUUUGAAGUUUUAGUUCUUCUACAUGAAAUAAUAUAGUGAAGAAGUCCAAUAAAAAAUGUACUUGCUAUUAAAAGUAAU
This is a long non-coding RNA of Lolium perenne, 1224 nucleotides long. RefSeq lists it as uncharacterized. Lineage: Eukaryota; Viridiplantae; Streptophyta; Magnoliopsida; Poales; Poaceae. The record is from RefSeq and is a predicted model, not a curated record.